UACAGAGGGGGCAAGCGUUGUUCGGAAUUACUGGGCGUAAAGGGCGCGUAGGCGGCCUGCUAAGUCGAACGUGAAAUCCCUGGGCUCAACCCAGGAACUGCGUCCGAUACUGGUUGGCUUGAAUCCGGGAGAGGGAUGUGGAAUUCCAGGUGUAGCGGUGAAAUGCGUAGAUAUCGGGAGGAACACCGGUGGCGAAGGCGGCGACCUGGGUAGAUACUGACGCUGAGGUGCGAAAGCGUGGGGAGCAAACAGG
RNAcentral lists this ribosomal RNA (253 nucleotides) under uncultured bacterium. Its description in RNAcentral is "partial 16S ribosomal RNA". It matches the Rfam family "Bacterial small subunit ribosomal RNA", at positions 524 to 776 of the family's 1533-position model. The record is from RNAcentral.